GAGGGGACCGACCCCCAGUCGC
RNAcentral lists this microRNA (22 nucleotides) under Ornithorhynchus anatinus (platypus). RNAcentral's name for it is "oan-miR-1343-5p". Lineage: Eukaryota; Metazoa; Chordata; Mammalia; Monotremata; Ornithorhynchidae. The record is from miRBase by way of RNAcentral.